AUCCUUUUGGGGCCUCAUAAGCAUGAUGAUUGUGUGUUCAUGGGGUUGCAUGACACGUGCUGCCCACAAACCUUAUUAUGCAUUGGCACAUUACCUGUCUGACA
Small nucleolar RNA from Nannospalax galili (Upper Galilee mountains blind mole rat), 104 nucleotides. RefSeq annotates it as small nucleolar RNA U13. NCBI's taxonomy places the organism in Eukaryota, Metazoa, Chordata, Mammalia, Rodentia, Spalacidae. The record is from RefSeq and is a predicted model, not a curated record. The transcript has a single exon.